UACGUAGGGGGCAAGCGUUGUCCGGAAUCAUUGGGCGUAAAGCGCGCGUAGGCGGCCCGGUAAGUCCGUUGUGAAAGUCAAAGGCUCAACCUUUGAACGCCGAUGGAUACUGCCGGGCUAGAGUCCGGAAGAGGCGAGUGGAAUUCCUGGUGUAGCGGUGGAAUGCGCAGAUAUCAGGAGGAACACCAAUAGCGAAGGCAGCUCGCUGGGACGGUACUGACGCUGAGGCGCGAAAGUGUGGGGAUCAAACAGG
This 253-nucleotide ribosomal RNA is filed under the name uncultured bacterium. RNAcentral's name for it is "partial 16S ribosomal RNA". It matches the Rfam family "Bacterial small subunit ribosomal RNA", at positions 524 to 776 of the family's 1533-position model. The record is from RNAcentral.